Molecule: transfer RNA, 67 nt
Filed under: Laetacara thayeri
Lineage: Eukaryota; Metazoa; Chordata; Actinopteri; Cichliformes; Cichlidae
Description: tRNA-Ser
Source: RNAcentral
GAGAGAGAUUCGUAAUAACAAAGACUGCUAAUCUUUGCCUCCUCAGUUAAACUCCGGGGCUCACUCG